AGGGCUUAAAUGCAGACGCAUAAAGUGGAACCAUUAUAGUCUUCGGACGGUCUGCAAGGUGCUGCAUGGCUGUCGUCAGCUCGUGCCGAGGUGUUGGGUUAAGUCCGCAACGAGCGCAACCCCUAUCUUUAGUUGCCAGCGGAUAAUGCCGGGGACUCUAAAGAAACUGCCAGCGCAAGCUGAGAGAAGCGGGGACGACGUCAAGUCAUCACGGCCCUUACGUCCUGGCCACACACGUGCUACAAUGGUCGGUACAGAGGCAGCUACCUAGCGAUAGGAUGCGAAUCUCGAAAGCCGAUCUCAGUUCGGAUUGGAGUCUGCAACUCGACUCUAUGAAGCUGGAAUCGCUAGUAAUCGCGCAUCAGCCAUGGCGCGGUGAAUACGUUCCCGGGCCUUGUACACACCGCCCGUCAAACAAUGGAAGCUGGGGGUGCCUGAAGUCGGUAACCGUAAGGAGCUGCCUAGGGUAAAACUAGUAACUGGUU
This 485-nucleotide ribosomal RNA is filed under the name uncultured bacterium. Its description in RNAcentral is "bacterial SSU rRNA". It matches the Rfam family "Bacterial small subunit ribosomal RNA", at positions 976 to 1480 of the family's 1533-position model. The record is from RNAcentral.